Molecule: ribosomal RNA, 253 nt
Filed under: uncultured bacterium
Lineage: Bacteria
Description: partial 16S ribosomal RNA
Rfam family: Bacterial small subunit ribosomal RNA
Source: RNAcentral
AACGUAGGAGACAAACGUUAUCCGGAGUUACUGGGCGUAAAGGGCGUGUAGGUGGUUUUGUAAGUCUGGCGUGAAAUAUCUCGGCUUAACCGGGACAGGUCGUCGGAUACUGCAGAACUAGAGGACGGUAGAGGCGUGUGGAAUUCCGGGUGUAGUGGUGAAAUGCGUAGAGAUCCGGAGGAACACCAGUGGCGAAGGCGACACGCUGGGCCGUACCUGACACUGAGGCGCGAUAGCAUGGGGAGCAAACAGG